UGCAGUCGAGCGGUAGCACAGAGAGCUUGCUCUCGGGUGACGAGCGGCGGACGGGUGAGUAAUGUCUGGGAAACUGCCUGAUGGAGGGGGAUAACUACUGGAAACGGUAGCUAAUACCGCAUAACGUCGCAAGACCAAAGUGGGGGACCUUCGGGCCUCAUGCCAUCAGAUGUGCCCAGAUGGGAUUAGCUAGUAGGUGGGGUAACGGCUCACCUAGGCGACGAUCCCUAGCUGGUCUGAGAGGAUGACCAGCCACACUGGAACUGAGACACGGUCCAGACUCCUACGGGAGGCAGCAGUGGGGAAUAUUGCACAAUGGGCGCAAGCCUGAUGCAGCCAUGCCGCGUGUGUGAAGAAGGCCUUCGGGUUGUAAAGCACUUUCAGCGGGGAGGAAGGCGAUAAGGUUAAUAACCUUGUCGAUUGACGUUACCCGCAGAAGAAGCACCGGCUAACUCCGUGCCAGCAGCCGCGGUAAUACGGAGGGUGCAAGCGUUAAUCGGAAUUACUGGGCGUAAAGCGCACGCAGGCGGUCUGUCAAGUCGGAUGUGAAAUCCCCGGGCUCAACCUGGGAACUGCAUUCGAAACUGGCAGGCUAGAGUCUUGUAGAGGGGGGUAGAAUUCCAGGUGUAGCGGUGAAAUGCGUAGAGAUCUGGAGGAAUACCGGUGGCGAAGGCGGCCCCCUGGACAAAGACUGACGCUCAGGUGCGAAAGCGUGGGGAGCAAACAGGAUUAGAUACCCUGGUAGUCCACGCCGUAAACGAUGUCGAUUUGGAGGUUGUGCCCUUGAGGCGUGGCUUCCGGAGCUAACGCGUUAAAUCGACCGCCUGGGGAGUACGGCCGCAAGGUUAAAACUCAAAUGAAUUGACGGGGGCCCGCACAAGCGGUGGAGCAUGUGGUUUAAUUCGAUGCAACGCGAAGAACCUUACCUGGUCUUGACAUCCACAGAACUUAGCAGAGAUGCUUUGGUGCCUUCGGGAACUGUGAAACAGGUGCUGCAUGGCUGUCGUCAGCUCGUGUUGUGAAAUGUUGGGUUAAGUCCCGCAACGAGCGCAACCCUUAUCCUUUGUUGCCAGCGUUCCGGCCGGGAACUCAAAGGAGACUGCCAGUGAUAAACUGGAGGAAGGUGGGGGUGACGUCAAGUCAUCAUGG
Molecule: ribosomal RNA, 1149 nt
Filed under: Klebsiella sp.
Lineage: Bacteria; Pseudomonadati; Pseudomonadota; Gammaproteobacteria; Enterobacterales; Enterobacteriaceae
Description: bacterial SSU rRNA
Rfam family: Bacterial small subunit ribosomal RNA
Source: RNAcentral